This 546-nucleotide ribosomal RNA is filed under the name uncultured bacterium. RNAcentral describes it as "bacterial SSU rRNA". It matches the Rfam family "Bacterial small subunit ribosomal RNA", at positions 777 to 1320 of the family's 1533-position model. The record is from RNAcentral.
AAUAGAUACCCCGGUAGUCCACGCCGUAAACGAUGAGUGCUAAGUGUUGGGGGGUUUCCGCCCCUCAGUGCUGCAGCUAACGCAUUAAGCACUCCGCCUGGGGAGUACGGUCGCAAGACUGAAACUCAAAGGAAUUGACGGGGGGCCCGCACAAGCGGUGGAGCAUGUGGUUUAAUUCGAAGCAACGCGAAGAACCUUACCAGGUCUUGACAUCCCGGUGACCACUAUGGAGACAUAGUUUCCCCUUCGGGGGCAACGGUGACAGGUGGUGCAUGGUUGUCGUCAGCUCGUGUCGUGAGAUGUUGGGUUAAGUCCCGCAACGAGCGCAACCCUUAUUCUUAGUUGCCAUCAUUCAGUUGGGCACUCUAAGGAGACUGCCGGUGAUAAACCGGAGGAAGGUGGGGAUGACGUCAAAUCAUCAUGCCCCUUAUGACCUGGGCUACACACGUGCUACAAUGGACGGUACAAACGGUUGCCAACCCGCGAGGGGGAGCCAAUCCGAUAAAACCGUUCUCAGUUCGGAUUGUAGGCUGCAACUCGCCUACA